GAUGAACGCUGGCGGCGUGCUUAACACAUGCAAGUCGAACGAGAAGUGAAGACGGAAACCUUCGGGCGGAAGGCUUUAUUUCGAGUGGCGGACGGGUGAGUAACGCGUGGGUAACCUGCCUCAUACAGGGGGAUAACAGUUGGAAACGACUGUUAAUACCGCAUAAGACCACAGCACCGCAUGGUGCGGGGGUAAAAACUCCGGUGGUAUGAGAUGGACCCGCGUUCGAUUAGCCAGUUGGCGGGGUAACGGCCCACCAAAGCGACGAUCGAUAGCCGAUCUGAGAGGAUGACCGGCCACAUGGGGACUGAGACACGGCCCAAACUCCUACGGGAGGCAGCAGUGGGGAAUAUUGCACAAUGGGGGAAACCCUGAUGCAGCGACGCCGCGUGAGUGAAGAAGUAUUUCGGUAUGUAAAGCUCUAUCAGCAGGGAAGAAAAUGACGGUACCUGAGUAAGAAGCCCCGGCUAACUACGUG
This 478-nucleotide ribosomal RNA is filed under the name uncultured bacterium. RNAcentral describes it as "partial 16S ribosomal RNA". It matches the Rfam family "Bacterial small subunit ribosomal RNA", at positions 28 to 507 of the family's 1533-position model. The record is from RNAcentral.